RNAcentral lists this ribosomal RNA (481 nucleotides) under uncultured bacterium. RNAcentral describes it as "partial 16S ribosomal RNA". It matches the Rfam family "Bacterial small subunit ribosomal RNA", at positions 29 to 507 of the family's 1533-position model. The record is from RNAcentral.
AUUGAACGCUGGCGGCAUGCUUUACACAUGCAAGUCGAACGGUAACAGGCCGCAAGGUGCUGACGAGUGGCGAACGGGUGAGUAAUGCAUCGGAACGUGCCCAGUCGUGGGGGAUAACUACUCGAAAGAGUAGCUAAUACCGCAUACGAUCUAUGGAUGAAAGCGGGGGACCGUAAGGCCUCGCGCGAUUGGAGCGGCCGAUGUCAGAUUAGGUAGUUGGUGGGGUAAAGGCUCACCAAGCCAACGAUCUGUAGCUGGUCUGAGAGGACGACCAGACACACUGGGGCUGAGACACGGCCCAGACUCCGAGGGGAGGCAGCGGUGGGGAAUUUUGGACAAUGGGCGCAAGCCUGAUCAAGCAAUGCCGCGUGCAGGAAGAAGGCCUUCGGGUGGUAAACUGCUUUUGUAGGGAACGAAACGGUUCUGGUUAAUACCCGGGGCUAAGGCCGUAACGGUAAGAAAAGCACCGGCUAACUACGUG